RNAcentral lists this ribosomal RNA (1099 nucleotides) under Bacteroides thetaiotaomicron. Its description in RNAcentral is "bacterial SSU rRNA". It matches the Rfam family "Bacterial small subunit ribosomal RNA", at positions 428 to 1533 of the family's 1533-position model. Lineage: Bacteria; Pseudomonadati; Bacteroidota; Bacteroidia; Bacteroidales; Bacteroidaceae. The record is from RNAcentral.
AACUUCUUUUAUAUGGGAAUAAAGUUUUCCACGUGUGGAAUUUUGUAUGUACCAUAUGAAUAAGGAUCGGCUAACUCCGUGCCAGCAGCCGCGGUAAUACGGAGGAUCCGAGCGUUAUCCGGAUUUAUUGGGUUUAAAGGGAGCGUAGGUGGACAGUUAAGUCAGUUGUGAAAGUUUGCGGCUCAACCGUAAAAUUGCAGUUGAUACUGGCUGUCUUGAGUACAGUAGAGGUGGGCGGAAUUCGUGGUGUAGCGGUGAAAUGCUUAGAUAUCACGAAGAACUCCGAUUGCGAAGGCAGCUCACUGGACUGCAACUGACACUGAUGCUCGAAAGUGUGGGUAUCAAACAGGAUUAGAUACCCUGGUAGUCCACACAGUAAACGAUGAAUACUCGCUGUUUGCGAUAUACAGUAAGCGGCCAAGCGAAAGCAUUAAGUAUUCCACCUGGGGAGUACGCCGGCAACGGUGAAACUCAAAGGAAUUGACGGGGGCCCGCACAAGCGGAGGAACAUGUGGUUUAAUUCGAUGAUACGCGAGGAACCUUACCCGGGCUUAAAUUGCAUUUGAAUAUAUUGGAAACAGUAUAGUCGUAAGACAAAUGUGAAGGUGCUGCAUGGUUGUCGUCAGCUCGUGCCGUGAGGUGUCGGCUUAAGUGCCAUAACGAGCGCAACCCUUAUCUUUAGUUACUAACAGGUCAUGCUGAGGACUCUAGAGAGACUGCCGUCGUAAGAUGUGAGGAAGGUGGGGAUGACGUCAAAUCAGCACGGCCCUUACGUCCGGGGCUACACACGUGUUACAAUGGGGGGUACAGAAGGCAGCUACCUGGUGACAGGAUGCUAAUCCCAAAAGCCUCUCUCAGUUCGGAUCGAAGUCUGCAACCCGACUUCGUGAAGCUGGAUUCGCUAGUAAUCGCGCAUCAGCCAUGGCGCGGUGAAUACGUUCCCGGGCCUUGUACACACCGCCCGUCAAGCCAUGAAAGCCGGGGGUACCUGAAGUACGUAACCGCAAGGAGCGUCCUAGGGUAAAACUGGUAAUUGGGGCUAAGUCGUAACAAGGUAGCCGUACCGGAAGGUGCGGCUGGAACACCUCCUUUCUGGAGC